Molecule: unclassified non-coding RNA, 89 nt
Filed under: Pseudomonas migulae
Lineage: Bacteria; Pseudomonadati; Pseudomonadota; Gammaproteobacteria; Pseudomonadales; Pseudomonadaceae
Source: RNAcentral
UGUGGGAGCGGGCUUGCUCGCGAUGAGGUCGCCACAUUCAACAUUGAUGUGGCUGAUAAACCGCCAUCGCGAGCAAGCCCGCUCCCACA